Long non-coding RNA from Oreochromis aureus, 1889 nucleotides. The record is from Ensembl. NCBI's taxonomy places the organism in Eukaryota, Metazoa, Chordata, Actinopteri, Cichliformes, Cichlidae.
UGAGUGUCUCCUGUGCGAGUGCUCUGUGACCGUCCUUGCGAGUGAAAGAACUGCAGUGUUUUGUGUUUUCUAACUCAGGAGUCUUGGCUGAAGAGAGAACGGCAGGGUGAUUUAAAGAAAUCCCCUGUCAUUUAAAUUGGUCCUUCGAGCCUAGCGAUGGAAACAACAGACACGUUUCUGUGACUCCAAUAAGGUCUGACUGCUGCAUCCUGACGUCGUGGGUAAACCAGCACCGAAGUCUGUCGACAGCCCUCUCCAGGUAGAGGUGAGAGUCCUGGAACGUUGAAUUCGGGUCCAGGCCGGUGAUUUAGUUCUGGUCCACGACAUUGGGAUCCAGAUGACCUGAACAACCAGCAAAAGACGACUGAGGUGUGUCAAUACAGGUGGAUUUCUCUCAACCUGGAACCUUGAGUACAGCGGCAAAAGCAUAGAUUAAUUGGGAAAACAAGCCACUUUUUGGCUAAAAUUUUACAGCUUGACCUCUCACUUUGUCCCGACCCUGAGAAGAAGCUCAAAGGACAGUUAAUCUCCUGAUGAAGACCGACAGAACAUCGUGGACUUGAAGAAUUAACAGCAGGCAAAAGACAGUGCAAAUGAAACAAGUCUGACUGACAACUGCAACAGCAGAAUGAAAGAAACCACGUGAUGAAAACAUGCACGAGGAAACUGCAGGCUGGUAAAGAACAGUGUCACAUGACUGUUCGAAGGCACUGAACAUGAUAUUUUGCCGGGCUGGAACUUAACUUAAAAGAAGAAUACUGAAAGAUCAAAACAGAGAAGAAACAGACUGUGUUUGUUGGAGCUUUGAAGGCCACACAAGGACACUGUGAAAAAGGGACGAGGACUGAUGGGAGGUGAAACAGGACAAGUUCGAGUGCAAGAAUACAGGAUAUGAUUGGAUUGAAAUUGAAGGCUGAACUCACGAUUGUUUAGAGAUGUCCACCACAUCACAAACAAAAGAAGGUGGUAACUGGCGUCUCACUACUGGCAACGGCUCUGCUCAUCACACUAUCCACCCAGGAAGAAGGAAGAAUUCAAACUCUGGACAACUGGACAAAAUGUACUCAACUCACUCUUCCUGUGGGCAGGAGUUGGGAAAACGUGCUCUCAGAAGUGAGAUACUGGACUAUAGAUUCGGCUUGUUUCUCAAAGCAUCCUGGAAGGUCAACGAGGGACAAAACCAAGAAAUAGACGCUCUCAGAGUUGCUGUGAUGCAACAUCGUGUAGCACUGCACAUGAUCCUGGCUGAGAAAGGAGGAUUGUGUGUCUUAUUCAACACCACAUGCUGCACUUACAUACCAGAUAAUGUACAUUCUUCAGACAUGACUUCAGAUUUUAAAGAGACCGUUGAUUGUCGUUGGACUUUUCCUGAUUUUAUUUUGUUUUCUUUAUUUGAGUUAUUCCUUGUUUAAAAGCUGUAAUUUCACAGAUGAUAAGUUUAUCAUUCACAGCAUACGCAGAUGUACUGAAAUCAAUGAAGAUCAUGAAGACUUCUUUUCCUAUUUGACAGAUGAAGAUGAAGUGUAACUAAUGAUGUAGUAACUGAGAAUGUGAAAGACAAGUAGUUACUCACUGAUGAAUUGUACAUUUCAUUUCGUGAUCAACAGGAGGGAAUGUCAAAGGAAAAUCGUGUAUUUUGUGAUCAGCUAACAUGAAAUGUAUUCUUUAUUGAUCAUUAAGCACAUGUCUACGUGACUUUUCACCUAAUAACUUUUGACAUGAACUCUUCUGUGAUAAACAACUUACAGCUUCCUCUUUCUGUUUUGGAACAUACAGACUUAGAAAAGGGGAACCUCAGCUCUGAGUUCUGAGAAUAACUCUGUUAUCUUUGUACACACACACACACACACACACACACACACAGAAACAUCUUGUAUAAAUAAAGAAAC